RNAcentral lists this ribosomal RNA (1421 nucleotides) under Staphylococcus aureus M0144. RNAcentral describes it as "bacterial SSU rRNA". It matches the Rfam family "Bacterial small subunit ribosomal RNA". The record is from RNAcentral. Lineage: Bacteria; Bacillati; Bacillota; Bacilli; Caryophanales; Staphylococcaceae.
AGAGUUUGAUCCUGGCUCAGGAUGAACGCUGGCGGCGUGCCUAAUACAUGCAAGUCGAGCGAACGGACGAGAAGCUUGCUUCUCUGAUGUUAGCGGCGGACGGGUGAGUAACACGUGGAUAACCUACCUAUAAGACUGGGAUAACUUCGGGAAACCGGAGCUAAUACCGGAUAAUAUUUUGAACCGCAUGGUUCAAAAGUGAAAGACGGUCUUGCUGUCACUUAUAGAUGGAUCCGCGCUGCAUUAGCUAGUUGGUAAGGUAACGGCUUACCAAGGCAACGAUGCAUAGCCGACCUGAGAGGGUGAUCGGCCACACUGGAACUGAGACACGGUCCAGACUCCUACGGGAGGCAGCAGUAGGGAAUCUUCCGCAAUGGGCGAAAGCCUGACGGAGCAACGCCGCGUGAGUGAUGAAGGUCUUCGGAUCGUAAAACUCUGUUAUUAGGGAAGAACAUAUGUGUAAGUAACUGUGCACAUCUUGACGGUACCUAAUCAGAAAGCCACGGCUAACUACGUGCCAGCAGCCGCGGUAAUACGUAGGUGGCAAGCGUUAUCCGGAAUUAUUGGGCGUAAAGCGCGCGUAGGCGGUUUUUUAAGUCUGAUGUGAAAGCCCACGGCUCAACCGUGGAGGGUCAUUGGAAACUGGAAAACUUGAGUGCAGAAGAGGAAAGUGGAAUUCCAUGUGUAGCGGUGAAAUGCGCAGAGAUAUGGAGGAACACCAGUGGCGAAGGCGACUUUCUGGUCUGUAACUGACGCUGAUGUGCGAAAGCGUGGGGAUCAAACAGGAUUAGAUACCCUGGUAGUCCACGCCGUAAACGAUGAGUGCUAAGUGUUAGGGGGUUUCCGCCCCUUAGUGCUGCAGCUAACGCAUUAAGCACUCCGCCUGGGGAGUACGACCGCAAGGUUGAAACUCAAAGGAAUUGACGGGGACCCGCACAAGCGGUGGAGCAUGUGGUUUAAUUCGAAGCAACGCGAAGAACCUUACCAAAUCUUGACAUCCUUUGACAACUCUAGAGAUAGAGCCUUCCCCUUCGGGGGACAAAGUGACAGGUGGUGCAUGGUUGUCGUCAGCUCGUGUCGUGAGAUGUUGGGUUAAGUCCCGCAACGAGCGCAACCCUUAAGCUUAGUUGCCAUCAUUAAGUUGGGCACUCUAAGUUGACUGCCGGUGACAAACCGGAGGAAGGUGGGGAUGACGUCAAAUCAUCAUGCCCCUUAUGAUUUGGGCUACACACGUGCUACAAUGGACAAUACAAAGGGCAGCGAAACCGCGAGGUCAAGCAAAUCCCAUAAAGUUGUUCUCAGUUCGGAUUGUAGUCUGCAACUCGACUACAUGAAGCUGGAAUCGCUAGUAAUCGUAGAUCAGCAUGCUACGGUGAAUACGUUCCCGGGUCUUGUACACACCGCCCGUCACACCACGAGAG